GACGAACCGUGCGAACGUUAUUCGGAAUUACUGGGCUUAAAGCGCGUGUAGGCGGGCCAGCACGUCCGUAGCUGAAAGCCCCCGGCUCAACCGGGGAAGUGGCGUGGAUACGGCUGGCCUGGAGGGGGGUAGGGGGAUCUGGAACUUCCGGUGGAGCGGUGAAAUGCGUUGAGAUCGGAAGGAACGCCCGUGGCGAAAGCGAGAUCCUGGACCCUUUCUGACGCUGAGACGCGAAAGCCAGGGGAGCGAACGGG
RNAcentral lists this ribosomal RNA (254 nucleotides) under uncultured bacterium. RNAcentral describes it as "partial 16S ribosomal RNA". It matches the Rfam family "Bacterial small subunit ribosomal RNA", at positions 524 to 776 of the family's 1533-position model. The record is from RNAcentral.